UGUUUAAGACAAUGGUAGAAGAGAGUGUAGUUCUGUUCAGUUUGGAGUUCAGUUUAUCAUAGGGUUUAUCAUUAAUAUGCUAAUUUUACUAGCUCCUCCUUUCAACCAGAUUUCACAGUUUGAAGGAACUUCCUUUUCCACUGCAAGCAGAGUUUGAACCUUUACAAGAAGAGAACCAUGAAGAGGAGCUUGGAGUGGGCAAGGGGGAGGCUGAUAAAGCAGCAGAGAAGACCUGAUUCAUCAAGUAUCAAUUCAUUUAGGUGAUUCUCACCUGGUUGGCAUGCAUGCACAACACGACAAGGUAUGCAACGUUAAGCCCAAACAAAUAUCCAAUGUUAUUAAAACAUGUAUCCCAAUUUACAGUCAAGCAACGUUUGUCAGUUGUGUUAAUGUUAUGAACUACAAACAAUCUAUGGUUCUUGGGAGUCAAUGAAUCAAUUGAAAGUGACUACAAUUAGACAUUUUAAAACUGUGCCAGUAAAGAUAAAAGUAAUCUGCUCUAAGGUUCUGUUUACAUUUUAUCCAGACACUUCAAUCUGACACUCUUAAUGUUUGACAUCAGGCAAAAUGUCUUCAGCCACCAUAGGACGGAGAGCCGCUGGUUGGCAUUUGACUGCAGUGUUUGUGGGUGUACCAGGAAAGGACGUUAGAAGUUAGGUCCCCAUGAUAUUGAAGCUUUUUACGUCUCCACUGCAGCCCAGUCGAUAUCGAUUAAAAAAAUAUAUAUAAUAAUAAUAAUAGUGCUACACUAUGUACACCUCCAGAUUGCAUAUUGUCCCAACAAAUGUCAAUUAUACAUUUUUAAAUACGUCAGAGUGCAUUUUCUUUUAUAGCUCUGCUUUCAACACCAUCCUUACCCACAAACUGGUUAGCAGGCUCUGGGUGUAAAUCCUGUAAUAACACAUUCGAUUUUUUACAUUAUAAGAAUGUGUAUCCCUAGAAUGGACCCGACACUACCAUGGUACACAUGAGUACAUGAAGGAGCUGUGGGACCUGACAAUGAUGAUGGGACAAGUCUCAGCAUAAACAAAGUAGAUGGUGAUACUUGACCAUUCUCCCAUCUACUGUACAUGGAAAUGAUCAGCAGCUUCAAGUUCCUGGGCACCCUGAUAUCCUUUUCUUCCCUCAGUUACUUCACUCAAAGUCCCACUUGUGCUUCUCCACUACCCUCAAACUUGCUGCACCACGACCUGUGUACAAACUACAGUGUCUUAUUGCCAUAACAUGUAAAUGAAAUGUCCAUAUUUACUGUAAGAUUUAUGUAACAUUGCACAUAUUGUAACAGUCCCUUGACAUACAUGACUUAACUACUUUGCAUAAUGCUCAGUUUACCCACUAAGAAAUCAUACAUUUAUUUAAAUAUUAAAGCUGCAUUAUGUAUUACUGUA
Salmo salar (Atlantic salmon) is the source of this 1388-nucleotide non-coding RNA. The record is from RefSeq and is a predicted model, not a curated record. Lineage: Eukaryota; Metazoa; Chordata; Actinopteri; Salmoniformes; Salmonidae.